Long non-coding RNA from Leopardus geoffroyi (Geoffroy's cat), 450 nucleotides. RefSeq lists it as uncharacterized. The record is from RefSeq and is a predicted model, not a curated record. Lineage: Eukaryota; Metazoa; Chordata; Mammalia; Carnivora; Felidae. The transcript is spliced from 2 exons.
GUGAGCCCCCCGCUGCGUGGGCGGGCUGCUGCGCUGGCAGGAAGACGGGAGCCCUUGCCAGCCGUCCCCACUCCCCUGGGCCUGCAGUUCCAACCAAAGUGGUUCUGGAGGCUGGAGGUCCGUUGUCAAGAUGUUGCCAGGAUUGGUGUCCUCUCUCCUUGGUUUACAGAUGGCCGUCUUCUCUCCAUGUCUUUGUAGGUUGUUCCUUCUGUCCGUGUCGGAUUAGGAACCACCCUAAUGACCACACGUCACCUUACCCACCUCUUUAAAGCCCCUCUCUUCAAACACAGUCAUAUUCUAAGGACUCCCAACGUAUGAAUUUGGGGGGGGGGGACACACUUCAACCCAUGACAACUAAUAACUCCGCUUUGCGAGCCACAAGUCCUGAUGUAAAUGGGAGAGUCAGUUCCAAGUAUCACGUAUAAAGUUCAACAGUGUUUUGAAAGCCUG